CCUACGGGUGGCUGCAGUCGAGAAUCAUUCACAAUGGGGGAAACCCUGAUGGUGCGACGCCGCGUGAGGGAAUGAAGGUCUUCGUAUUGUAAACCCCUGUCAUGUGGGAGCAAAUUAAAAAGAUAGUACCCGAAGAGGAAUAGACGGGUAACUCGCUGCCAGCAGCCGCGGUAAUACAGAGGUCUCAAGCGUUGUUCGGAAUCACUGGGCGUAAAGCGUGCGUAGGCUGUUUCGUAAGUCGUGUGUGAAAGGCGCGGGCUCAACCCGCGGACGGCAGAUGAUACUGGGAGACUAGAGUAAUGGAGGGGGAAGCGGAAUGCGCGGUGUAGCAGUGAAAUGCGUAGAUAUCGAGAGGAACACUCGUGGCGAAGGCGGGUUCCUGGACAUUAACUGACGCUGAGGCACGAAGGCCAGGGGAGCGAAAGGGAUUAGAUACCCGAGUAGUC
RNAcentral lists this ribosomal RNA (446 nucleotides) under uncultured bacterium. RNAcentral's name for it is "partial 16S ribosomal RNA". It matches the Rfam family "Bacterial small subunit ribosomal RNA", at positions 338 to 795 of the family's 1533-position model. The record is from RNAcentral.